RNAcentral lists this unclassified non-coding RNA (223 nucleotides) under plant metagenome. Its description in RNAcentral is "partial contains small subunit ribosomal RNA, internal transcribed spacer 1, and 5.8S ribosomal RNA". The record is from RNAcentral.
UUUCCGUAGGUGAACCUGCGGAAGGAUCACUAUCAUGUAAUUCAGUCCCCUUGGCUGUGUUAUAUAUAUACCCACUCUGUGUACCUUCUCCUGUUGCUUCCGCCGGGUGUGUAAUUCGCCCAGCGGAAGGGUAAAAAUAACCUCUGAGUAUUGAUGAAAUCUCUGUCUGAACCGAAUAGAAAGAAAAAUGUUAAAACUUUCAGCAACGGAUCUCUUGGUUCUC